AGAAAAACAAAUUCUUCUAGGCUUUGUUAUGUUCAACAAACAUUUUUCUUGUUAAAAUAGUUAGAGAAGAUUCUGUUACCAAGGAAUAUUUAGAUACUAUGGGUUCACAUUUGGAUCCUCAGCUUGAGGACAGAAUUCUGCAUGAGGUGAAAUCGCAAGGCGUUUUCGAUGAAUUUCGCAAAGAUUCAAUGGCGGACGUAGACACCAAGCCCGCUUAUCAAAAUCUACGACAACGUGUAGAGAAUACAGUGAAAAAGUUCUUAUCUGAGCAACACUGGACGCCAGAUAUGAAUAAAAACCAACUGCGCGAGAAAUUGCGGAGGCACAUAACCGAGUCUGGUUUUUUGGAUGUUGGUGUGGAACGGAUUGUGGAUCAAGUGGUGAACCCCAAAAUUGGUACAGUUUUCCAACCGCGUAUUGAAGAAAUUACUUACAAAUAUUUAGGACUACCUCCGCCACCAGUCAAACACGAACCUCCACCACCGAUAAUGCACCCCUUACCGCCCUUGCCUUUGACGGGACCGCCGCCUUUGAAAAUAGAAACUAGCAGUCUUUUACCAACUGGACUCGAGCAAGUAAGCCCCGAUUCCGAUAAAGCGACAGUAAAGUCAGAAUCUCGAGAGGAUGACAAAUCAAUAAUCGAUAUGGAUAUUGAUAUGGAUGACAAAAUGGUAGAGGAGGAUGAUGAGUCCCCUCCAUUCGAGCCAUUAGUGAAAUGUGUGGAGGAAAAACAUGUAAUAAAAACUGAGACAAUGAUAAAGAAAGAGAGUGAAGUUGAUGAGAAACUAGAGGUUGCCACGAGUAAAAUCGAACCAAUGUCAACCGGAAAGGCGUUAAAGUCAGAUUUUGGUAAACAAGAAGAAAUAAGAGAUUCUGAAACGCAGGACACUUCCGGUUCAACAAAUCCAACAAAUCCUGAACCUGCGAAAAAUUUGAGUUUAUCAUUUGAAGCAGAUGCUGCUUUAUCGCAAGAUUCGCAGUUAUCUCAGGUGUCGAGUGACAGUCACAUCUCCGAUGUUACUGCAAAUGCGUCGCAUAGCUUUAUGGAUAACUCGAGUGCUCACAACACAUCGCAAGCGCAAGACGAAGCAGUAUUGGAACUGGCUUCGGCGAAUAUAUCGGAAGAAGCACAAAUGCCUAAAUUCAACGAAAACUCAUGCGAAAUGAGUGGUCCAAAGUCAAAUCUAUCCGAGCUACACUUUGAUAUAAAGAAAGAUGAGAUUAAAUUCGAAGGUACUGAACGAAAGAUAAAUUUGAUGGAACAAGAAGGCGAAUGCAAUUCAGUAAUUGGGGAUAUUUCUCCGAGACAAAGGGGUACAUUGGGUGGUAAUUUAGAAAAUAAAGAACAACCGCAUCACUUCGGAAAUUUAAUAAUUGAUACAAAUGUAGAGCCUAACGACCAAAAAUCAGCACCGAAAACGCCUGCAGCAACUCCGACCCAAACUCCUCAUGACAGUAGUUUCGGCUCUUCACUUGAAGAUAUAAGUUAUCAGCAUUAUGCAGAUAAUUGUGAAGAUGGAUUAAAAAAUGAGUCUGUGACUGCAGCAAUAUCAGUGUCCUUGCCAGAACAAAGCGAGAAAAAAGAAGCAAGUUCCUCGCAAAAUCGAGGAUCCUCGUCGUCAUCUCGACAUAAAAAGCAUUCGAAAGAUAAGCGGCACUCGCACGGCUCAAAGGAAAAGUAUAAGGACAGAGACCGAAGUAAAAAUAGAGACAGAAGUAAGGAUAAGGAUAAGGGUAGUGAUAAGGAUAGAAGUAGCGAUAAAAGUAGGCAUAGAGACAAGGAGAGCAGUAGGGAUAAAGAUAAGGAACGAAGGGAAAAGGAGAGAAGAAAGGAUAGGUCUAAGGAAAAAGAAAAGUCCCAUAGGCGCGAUAAGCACACGAAGACUAAAAGCGAUAGCAUGGAGCGUAGCGGCAGCUCAAAGCGCUCGAGCUCAUCCGCAGGACGGUCUCAUGAUACAAGUUCCAGUAAAAAUGAUAAAGGCGGAACAACGAAAAGUGCGAGCACUUUCAUAUCAUCGUCAAGCUCUUCCAGUCGUUCUGAGAGCCAUGAUGCAAGACGCGAAAAACGUGAAUAUGAAAGGAAGAAACUUCUAAACUCAUCAAAUAAUGAAAAUAGUUCAAAGAAAGAUGACAGCAAAUCCGUCAUUGAUGAUCAUAGCAUUGAGAAGUUGAAAGUUCAGAGGCGCAAGUCAACAGAUUCAAAUGAUGAAGGUAAAGGUGGUAGUGGUGGUGGUGGUGGUGGUGCUGGCAGGCAGAAUGGUGGAAGCGAGCAUGUAAGAGGCAGCGUAAACUCGUCAGGAACCAGCUAUGACAAGCAGCAAAGUCAACAGAAAGACUCCAAGAACACAUCACCAAGUUCACAAAGCCCAAAGAGCAAACCCAAAGAUGGUGUGGAGGAGUCUGGUUAUGAAGAUAAACUCACUGGCGCCGCCUUGAAUAUUACUAAUGAAAUGUGUGAAACUGAGAGCACAAAAGCUGCGAUGGCACAAGCGCACCGAAAUAAAGUUGUUAUUUUGAACGAUAUGCUGGAGAAUCCCAAUGUAAAUUUCAUAGAUUUGGGACCAACAAUGACAACAUAUUCAAUCGCUAAAGGUGCAGCUGCAGGUGCAGCUGCAAUAUGCAAUACUCCGCCCAAAAUAGAUAUUUCGCCGCCCGAUAUAGACGUCACAUUGCCUGAAACUACUUCUAAGCCGCCUGUAACGCACAUUUCAUCGACAAACUCGCUUGGAGCGGAAGAAGAGCAGCUAUUAUUUUUCGAUGAAAUGAGUGCGCCAUUUUCAGAUCGCUUGCGUUUGCUCGAUAACGCAAUGGAUCGCUGCCGGCGUGUGGUUAAUAAUUUGCGCUUCGAUUGUGCCAACGAAUUAUACAACUCGUUUGAAGCUUACGAAGAGCAACAAAGUAAAAACGAAUUGGAUACGAAUGUAACGACGCAAUCUCGUGCUACUCUUUCAGUCGAUUGUGUGCCUGUAUACAGUGUGGAAAACUGUUUUAUGAGCAAUGAACGAUGUGCAGCUAGUCCGGUUGAGAAUGCAUUCGAUAAUGAUUACGAGCCGAAUGCGAAACGUAGACGAAAUAACAUCGGGCAAUCACUGCAAAGUAAACCAUCACCCACACCUUCAGAUGCUAGUGUCAAUUCCAAGGAGAAUAUGGCACUGGACAAAAAUGCUGAUAUGCAUACAAAUUAAAUCAAAGAAUAAAGAACCCAGUAUGAAGCGAAUAAUAAGUACUGGUAAAUUUGUAGAGCCUUCGCGUAUCGCAUGACAUAAAAUAACCUAUUCAUAGAAGCCUACAUUUAAAAUAGAUUGAAAUUUGAAAAAAAAAUUGAAUUAUCCUUCAAACCAUGCUGGAUAUGGUGAAGUGUAUUCGUCGCAUUGCCUCUGUAAAUAAAUUGAACCAACAGCAGCGUUAUAGCAGCGAGGAUCUUUACAAGCCACGACCAGUGCUAAGUCAACGCUCCCGUCGU
RNA transcript from Anastrepha obliqua, 3463 nucleotides. It is a transcript of the gene named biorientation of chromosomes in cell division protein 1-like 1, with no coding region annotated. The transcript is spliced from 6 exons. NCBI's taxonomy places the organism in Eukaryota, Metazoa, Arthropoda, Insecta, Diptera, Tephritidae. The record is from RefSeq and is a predicted model, not a curated record.